Molecule: unclassified non-coding RNA, 449 nt
Filed under: uncultured Bordetella sp.
Lineage: Bacteria; Pseudomonadati; Pseudomonadota; Betaproteobacteria; Burkholderiales; Alcaligenaceae
Description: partial 16S-23S ribosomal RNA intergenic spacer
Rfam family: Bacterial small subunit ribosomal RNA
Source: RNAcentral
UACGGGGGGGGCAGCAGUGGGGAAUUUUUGGACAAUGGAAACCUGAUCCAGCCAUCCCGCGCGUGCGAUGAAGGCCUUCGGGUUGUAAAGCACUUUUGGCAGGAAAAGCGGCGCAGGAUAAUACCCGUGCAACUGACGUACCUGCAGAAUAAACACCGGCUAACUACGUGCCAGCAGCCGCGGUAAUGCGUGAGGUGCAAGCGUUGUCGGAAUUACCGGGCGUAAAGCGUGCGCAGGCGGUUCGGAAAAGAAAGAUGUGAAAUCGGAAGCAACUUUGGAACUGUAUUUUAACUACCGAGCUAGAGUGUGUCAGAGAGGUGGAAUUCCGCAUUAACAGUGAAAUGCGUAGAUAUGCGGAGGAACACCGAUGGCGAAGGCAGCCUCCUGGGAUAACGCUGACGCUCAUGCACGAAAGCGUGGGGAGCAAACGGGAUUAGAUACCCGCGUAG